AGGACGAACGCGUGGCGGCGUGCUUAACACAUGCAAGUCAAGGGGGCCUACGCCAAGGGGCAACCGGCGAACGGGUGCGUAACACGUGAGCGACCUUCCGUCUUCUGGGGAUAGCCGGCCCAACGGCCGGGCAAUACCGCAUACGCUGCUUUUCGGGCAUCCGAGGAGCAGGAAACUUCCGGGGGAGGACGAGGGGCUCGCGGCCUAUCAGCUAGUUGGCGGGGUAACGGCCCACCAAGGCGACGACGGGUAGCUGGUCUGAGAGGACGACCAGCCACACUGGAACUGAGACACGGUCCAGACUCC
This 306-nucleotide ribosomal RNA is filed under the name uncultured bacterium. RNAcentral's name for it is "bacterial SSU rRNA". It matches the Rfam family "Bacterial small subunit ribosomal RNA", at positions 26 to 339 of the family's 1533-position model. The record is from RNAcentral.